Molecule: small nucleolar RNA, 132 nt
Organism: Spea bombifrons (plains spadefoot toad)
Lineage: Eukaryota; Metazoa; Chordata; Amphibia; Anura; Pelobatidae
Product: small nucleolar RNA SNORA71
Exons: 1
Source: RefSeq, a predicted model, not a curated record
GCCUGCAUCGAAAGUGAUUGUGGCACUAUUAGUGGCCUGAUCAUUGAUACUGCAGGAAUAGAAUUUUGUGAAGGCUUUUCCCGUGUUUGGAUGUCAUACACUUUACAUACCAAACCCUGUGACCUUCACACA